GGUUGUAGUCGUCCUCAAAUCUCAAGGAUAGAUAGAGGUCAUGAAAUCCAUGGAGGAGGAUUUGUGGUCUAUGGGGACAUAUACACCCUAUAUGGAAAAAAUUAGUAAUUCAACAAAAAGUCAAAAAUUCCUGAAAAUAUUUUUGAAAUAAACUUGACCUUCUGCUGUACCCGUGAGAGAAAAUCCACAGAAAAAAUAUCCCUUUGACUUCUUUUCAAAAAAGACAAAAUUUUGGCUAAAAUAGUGUGAAUAGUGACCUAUAAUAGCAAAUAAUUUUUGUCUUUUUUGCUGUGAGGUCAACUUUUGUUUUUUUUUCGUGAAAAUGUAUAUAGUAGUGCAAAAGUAAGUCAAGUGUUUUGUCAAAAUAGUUCUGACCUAUUUUGACUUUUUUAAAAAAUAUUAAAAAAAAUCCCCAUAUAGGGUGCAUAUACAACCAGGAACCAUUGGGUAUUUCCCUGAAAUCCAUAGGGUUCUUCUUCCUUGGGAGGUCUUAAUCCUCUAAGAGAAGAUGGAUUAGUAAAGCUCUCUCACAAGUUUUAGUUAUGCUUUGCUAACCCUAGAAAAUGGAGGAGGUUAAAUCACCACAAAAUCUAAUCAUGUUCUCGGACAGUCACUGACAUGUUUAUGUUUAGCCAAGUCUGAAAGACCUAUGGUAUUACAAAACAUGCCUCAUGUGAAAACUCGGAUCGGAGUGAAGACCUUCUCCUUUAUGAACAUUUUUUGUUUCUUUUUUGAGGAAUAAAACAUGGACUCAGGUCAUGCAUCUUUCGAUUCAACCUCGGUAACUACACCAACCAGGUGGGAGAGGAGCAGACCAUCAUAUGUACUAGUAUGAUGUAAAUUUGCUUUACAUCAUGUGACUUGAAAGAGGCAGACCGCUUCACAAGCUCACAGCACAUAAUUCUGGAACCUCAAUGUUUGAGUAUGUGAUCCCGAGCAUACAGGCGCUCGAUAUCUGUCCCGCUCGUUCCAGCUUUGCGAUUCUGUCUAUUGAAUGCAUCUGGCACGUCACGGGUCCACCAGGGACAGAGAAAAUGUAGUAUACACAUCAAUACGGGCCUAUCUGGUGGGCCAUCUUUCGCACGGACGUUUGUGCUCUCGCCCGGCAGAGCCGUGGCUCGAGAUGUCGCCGGCGUCCUGAUCCGUGGAUCAGAAUUCAUGCUUUCCAGUUACGCCGGCAGCGGGUGCAGUUAAUGCGGGUGCCGACAGCUAUCUCCUACCUCCAGUCCUUGGAUCUUGGAUUCUUAAGAGCUGUGAAGCGGUCGAGAUAACUCCUGUGACAAAGCGAUCGAUUGCCCGAUCCGGCGAGUAUGGAGUUCUUGAUGCAGCAGAACUCUGCUAGAGGUCAACGAGAACAACAUCCCCACGAGUCCUCUUCAGUACCCUGUGAGGAUGCCUCCGGCCGUUGCGUUGCCGACGCACAGAUUUGUGCUGCUGAGGCUGCUCCAGUGGCAGGCAGUGGAGACAAGCGUCAGGGUUCAGAGAACUCCAUAGAGCAUGUUGACCCGAAAACUCCUGGCUGGAUAAAAGGUACUCACAGUUGGAUUGAACCAACUUAUGUUUUGGUUAGAUGUGCCAAAACAGGCUCGGAAGCCAGGAAGAUGUAAAAAUUGUGACGUUGAAGAGGGCAUCGUUGCCACAAAUCGGCUGAGCUUAGACUGAAGAGUUGAUCUGAUUAAUUACUUGUUAUGUUGAGCUGCACCACAUGAAAAAAUUGAAGCUGUGUUGUACCUGAAUACUUAUAAGUUGUGUUCUUUCAGAAUAAACUUAGCUUGUCUGUAAAA
This is a non-coding RNA of Aegilops tauschii subsp. strangulata, 1784 nucleotides long. The record is from RefSeq and is a predicted model, not a curated record. Lineage: Eukaryota; Viridiplantae; Streptophyta; Magnoliopsida; Poales; Poaceae.